AUGGCUGCCGCGGCGGCUUCAGGGGACUCCGGCGAGCAGCUGCUGCUCCACCUCAAGCUCGCCUUCCUCGCCCUGGAGCCCCCCGCCUGCGUCCUCACCCUCGCCAGAAAGGCUGGUGGAGGUUCUGUCACGCCACAUGUUCAAAAUUUUAUUUUGGAGAAUUGUGUUGGCACUAAUGUAGGGGGCCCAGAUUGUACAUAUGUGAAAACUAUUCUUAAAAAGGUUAUAGCAGAGGCGGAAUUAUCAUCAGAUAUUGUGAUUGAUGAACUCUAUGAGGAAUUUGGCCGUUGUAUGUCGUCAAGGGAAAAUAACUCAGAGCUUAGCCUGGCCAAGAUCUACAAGGAGAUAUCUUUUCUUUCUCCUGCAUAUGACAAUGUAUCCUCGAAUCCAGUAAGUUUGGUUGCUCGAUUAUUAUGUUCUACUAACAUGCUCGAAGGGGAUACAGGGUGCUGUCUUUGGCCAUCAAGUUUAUUCUUAUCUGAGUUUAUUCUUUCAUUCCCAGAACUUUUCGCCAAAAAAUGCUGCUUUGAGCUAGGUUCUGGUGUUGGUUUGGUUGGUGUAUGUCUAAACCAUGUUGGUGCUUCCAAGGUUAUUCUUACUGAUGGUGAUGCAUCUACACUAACAAACAUGAAGGCAAACAUGGAAAUGAAUAACUUAUACAUUGAGGAUUCUCAACUAGUAAAAGAAAGCAAGAAUAAGGUAGAGUGCAAAUAUCUUUCCUGGGAAGAAGCGUGUGAAAGCGAUUUAAGAGACUACCAGAGAGACAUACUUCUUGGUGCAGACAUUAUAUACAACCCGUCCUGCGUGCCCCACCUGGUACGAGUGCUUUGUAUGCUACUUAGAGGUGAUGAUGGACGGCGUGAAAGUGUCAAUGCGGCAACCAACGGAGAAAUUGGUGACGAAGUAUCUGGGACCACCACAACCGGAGGUCCUGUGGCCUAUAUCGCCACGGUUAUUCGGAAUGCAGACACUUUUAAUUGCUUUGCCAAGGCGGCUGCUGAUGCCAAGUUGUCUGUUGUCAACAUUACCAGCAGUGCGGCUACGUCCAGUUUUCUUCCUUACAUGAUCUCAUAUGAUAGAUCUAGCGUGCAACUUCUUAAGAUUACACUGCUAUCUUAA
This 1119-nucleotide ribosomal RNA is filed under the name Triticum aestivum (bread wheat). RNAcentral describes it as "partial small subunit ribosomal RNA". Lineage: Eukaryota; Viridiplantae; Streptophyta; Magnoliopsida; Poales; Poaceae. The record is from RNAcentral.